UCUAAAUCAUCCCAUUUUAUAUAUGUCAAUCAGAUAAUGACUUCUUCUAAACUAGGGCAGGCAAAAAUUAAGAAAAUUCCCACAGCCUUACAAGUUACAAAAUCACGUUUCUUAUCAUCAAAUAAGAGCAUUUAGCAUAACAAAACAAGAAUUGUACAAGGGAACUCAACCCAAUUAAGCAUAAUCAUACUGUAAUCCAUAUACAAUCAAUUAGGAAUAAUCUGUAAUCCAUACACAGAUUUAAAGUGAAAUUAAUUACAAUCCAUAGAAAUUCCCUUUUCCUACUUUCCUAAUAAUCAAAUACAACCAAUAAUCUAAUUAGCAAUGUUAAAAUUGUACCUGAAGAGAGAGACAGAGAGAGCUAGUGACAUAGUGUAAGAUGAGCUGGAGCAAGGGCAAGAGACAGAGAGGCACCGAAGGAGAGAGAGAGAAAGAGGGUAGCAACAACGUGAGAGAGGGGUAUCAAUGGGAAGAUGGAAAGAAAGCGGAUAGUGACGAGAUGGAGAGAGGUAGAAACCUGGAGCAAGAGGCAGCAACCAGAGGUUUCUGCUUCUAUCAUGAGAAUUCCAUUGCGAGAACCGGAUUUGAAAUAACGAGUUCAGUCUAGUUAUUUUAAGCUUUCUUAUACAUUUGGGAUUUGGAUGAAUCCAAAUCCAUUUUCAUUUAACAUACCCAAACAAUCUAUCCAAACAUAGAAUAAGUUUGCAUGCCACAAUGAUGUACAAAGAAAUUAGGUUGUAUGUGCACCGUGGGUUCGUGAAGCCCAUAUACCAAAUACAAGAAACCAGAAGACGAAUAAGAUAGCCCAGUAUCGUGCAGGUCCAUAUUUGAUUCGAGUGAGCACAGUAAAGCGAAAGAAGAUCACAACUGUUAAAGCACAGACGCCUCCAAGGAGAAUGUGAAGACCACUUCUUGCAGUUUUCUUUCCAACAUGGGGAGCAAUGAGCCAUGCUAAAGUAACAGUCAGCAGCCCAGUAGCAAGCAAAAUUCCAGUACCUUCCACAGCCCAUUUGGUUGCAAGAUUCUCAGGAGGGACAAUAUCUUCAGUGACAGCAUUCAAAGGUUGUUCAGAAACAACCUGUGAAACUGCAUUAGAAUUAUUGUGAUCACUGUUACCAAGUGGACUAAACCACAUUGAAAUCUCACUUAGCCGUUGCCUUCUGAUAGCAGCAACAGCAUCAGGAUCUACACCUAAACUCGCAUGAACCUGGGUAGGAUUGGGAUCCCCAGUGGUAGUCCUUUCCCUUAAUGCUUCAUAGUCCUUUAAAGAAACCAAAACCUUUUUGAAGUCCACCAUCCUGAUAUUUUUUGCAACACAUCCACAUAUUUCACAAACAGUAGAUCCAUGAUUAACAAACCAUUUGAGUGCACAAGCAUAGUGUACUAGAGCAAGUUCAUUUUUGCAAGAGCAACCAAGUUCAAUUAAUGAGUCUUGUUGAUGACAUGAACCCAUUUCCAAAUCUGUACUACAAAUGAAAACCUCCCCCUCAGGGCUAACAAACUGAAUUAAUCCAAAUUCUCUUCCCGCAUUUUUGCUAUGGAAAUCAUUGGUUUCACAGUGUAUUGACACUUCUUCGCUUUGAAGCUUUAUUGCUCCACUACUUUUACAAGACUCUUGCAAUGGGCUAAUGAUGCCCAAAAAUCCCAAUACAGCAUCUCCCCUUUUAUCAGAUUCAGUACAUUGGCACACACGACAAGUUGCUGAACCUGUCUCUUUGUCUAGACUGUAACGUGAAUGAGCCCCCGAGUCUUCACUCUUAGUAGGUGAGUGGCUUGCACCACCAACUCCACAAUUGAUGGAUUGUGAUAAAUUAUCCUUAGCCAUCACAGCAUGUUGAAGUUAUACAUUCAACAUUUUUGCACUAAACAGAACUAAAAUUUCCAAGUGCAGAAAAGAAAAACUUUCUUUACCUAUCCCAGAAGAUUCCCCUUUAACAUCACUCUAUCAUUGGAACUCUCUUGGCAGCGGCUUGAAAGGAGACUAGAGCUUGAGAUGGAUCUACAAUACAAUUUAAGAGGUAUAAAAACAGCGCUAAUGCUAAAGCAGCUUAGGUGAAUUGUUGGAGUGGACGUCAAGUUGAGCAUGAGAU
RNAcentral lists this unclassified non-coding RNA (2090 nucleotides) under Hevea brasiliensis (rubber tree). The record is from RNAcentral. Lineage: Eukaryota; Viridiplantae; Streptophyta; Magnoliopsida; Malpighiales; Euphorbiaceae.